RNAcentral lists this ribosomal RNA (253 nucleotides) under uncultured prokaryote. RNAcentral describes it as "partial 16S ribosomal RNA". It matches the Rfam family "Bacterial small subunit ribosomal RNA", at positions 525 to 777 of the family's 1533-position model. The record is from RNAcentral.
ACAGAGGUGUCAAGCGUUGCUCGGUGUCACUGGGCUUAAAGGGCGCGUAGGCUGUGCAGUACGGCUCGGGUGAAAUCCCUCGGCCCAACCGAGGAACCGCCCGGGCGACGGCUGUGCUGGACUGCAUCAGGGGCGGAUGGAACUCCCGGUGGAGCGGUGAAAUGCGUAGAUAUCGGGAGGAACGCCGGUGGCGAAAGCGAUCCGCUGGGGUGCAUGUGACGCUGAGGCGCGAAAGCCAGGGGAGCAAACGGGA